AGCAGCCGCGGUAAUUCCAGCUCCAAUAGCGUAUAUUAAAGUUGUUGCAGUUAAAAAGCUCGUAGUUGAAUUUCGGGGUCAGUAGAUUGGUCGUGCCACUGGUAUGCACUGGUCUUACUGGCUCCUCCUUCCUGAUGAACCGUAAUGCCAUUAAUUUGGUGUUGCGGGGAGACUGGACUGUUACUUUGAAAAAUUAGAGUGUUUAAAGCAGGCUAACGCUUGAAUACAUUAGCAUGGAAUAAUGAAAUAGGACGUUCGAUCUUAUUUUGUUGGUUUCUAAGAUUGACGUAAUGAUUAAUAGGGAUAGUUGGGGGCAUUAGUAUUCAAUUGUCAGAGGUGAAAUUCUUGGAUUUAUUGAAGACUAACUACUGCGAAAGCAUUUGCCAAGGAUGUUUUCAUUAAUCAAGAACGAAAGC
This 416-nucleotide ribosomal RNA is filed under the name uncultured Glomus. RNAcentral describes it as "SSU rRNA". It matches the Rfam family "Eukaryotic small subunit ribosomal RNA", at positions 569 to 990 of the family's 1831-position model. Lineage: Eukaryota; Fungi; Glomeromycota; Glomeromycetes; Glomerales; Glomeraceae. The record is from RNAcentral.